UACGGAGGGUGCAAGCGUUAUCCGGAUUCACUGGGUUUAAAGGGUGCGUAGGUGGGUUGGUAAGUCAGUGGUGAAAUCCCCGAGCUUAACUUGGGAACUGCCAUUGAUACUAUCGGUCUUGAAUACCGUGGAGGUUAGCGGAAUAUGUCAUGUAGCGGUGAAAUGCUUAGAUAUGACAUAGAACACCAAUUGCGAAGGCAGCUGGCUACACGAAUAUUGACACUGAGGCACGAAAGCGUGGGGAUCAAACAGG
RNAcentral lists this ribosomal RNA (253 nucleotides) under uncultured bacterium. RNAcentral describes it as "partial 16S ribosomal RNA". It matches the Rfam family "Bacterial small subunit ribosomal RNA", at positions 524 to 776 of the family's 1533-position model. The record is from RNAcentral.